Molecule: long non-coding RNA, 1249 nt
Organism: Panicum hallii
Lineage: Eukaryota; Viridiplantae; Streptophyta; Magnoliopsida; Poales; Poaceae
Exons: 2
Source: RefSeq, a predicted model, not a curated record
CUUCACCGACUUCUCUCCCUGGAGUUGAUGUCUGAAGAGGACAUUGUUCCUCGGUAGCCAGGUCAAUACUUUCUGUGACUUCUGCCUGAUUGCAUUCAGCAAUAAAGCCAGUGGCUGCAGUGCUUGCUGUGACUUCCUUGUGGUUGGCUUCAAAGGGAAGGGGGAGAACUUUUCUGAAGUAAAGCAAAUAAAUAAAAAUAAUAUGGCAAAGUUACCAAGCUAGCUAGAAGCUGAAUUGGAGAACUGAACUAACCUUUUGGUAAGUUACUACUAUGAUCAUCUUCUUGUGUUGAUGCAAUAUCCUGAAUUGAGCCCCUGUCCUUCUCAUCUAAGGCUACAAUCUUAUCUGAUGAACUAUUUUGAUACGAGGCCACCUGCUUAUCUUCAGCAUUGGUAGUGAUGGGGUCCUUUGAGGACUUUGACAAGUUGACAUCCUCAGUGCCAUGCUUCUCAUUAUCUGGCAUACACAAGCAGAUCAGCGAAAAUUCAUUAUACUGAAUUUUUUGCCUAAAUUAGUACACCAUAACCAUACUUGUUUCACUGUUCGUGCUGUUGAGCGCAGGUGAACCAUGUGGAGGCUCAAUGGUUUUGUCGACUCUGUUAGCGGUCUCUUCUGAUACUAAAUUUCGAAAAGAAGAUAAUUUGUGAAAUACUGAAAGUCUGAAACCUCAUUGGUAGAUAGCAGAUAGUAUUCAGCAAAAUUCAUACCUUGUUGUCCAGUGACGUUGUUGUUUCCCAUGAUCUCACUGCCUACUGCACUUCGCAGCUCAAGUUCUGAAAUACUAUGAGCAAUCAGAACAGCAUUUUAGUUAGCUCAAGCCCAACCUGGAACAAAAAUUAUCGGAUAUGAAAGACAAGGGGAUGUGCAAGCGAACACCACAGACCACGAUGGAUUGAUGGCAGACACUUCAAGACUAGCUAGAAAGAGCACAAGAAGACAGCAUAUUGUUGUCUGUGAGCCUUGUAGUAUUUGUAGUGCACGGAGCUCAUUAUAAGAAACACUAGCUUUGUGGGUCACUAUUUCCUCUUGUUUUUUUUUUUGAAAAGUUAACUAAAGUAAAGCUGGUGAUCUGAUUGAAUUAUGACCAUAUCAUUCAUCAACAUGACUCAGUUUGUUUAAAAUAGGGUCUACUGAAAUUCAGCAGGAAAGCUGAACCCUUUAAUCACAAAGGAUUAGUAAUAUUGGGGGCAUGAUUUAACAGGAUGGUUGUAUGCUUUUUGCUGAACUAAGGAUAUGUUUAUUUGCUUA